GCCUCGGUGGUGUAGUGGUGGCACGCGUCCCUGGUAUGGGUCAGACGCAGGUUCAAGUCCAGUCUAAGGUC
Non-coding RNA from Parelaphostrongylus tenuis, 71 nucleotides. Lineage: Eukaryota; Metazoa; Nematoda; Chromadorea; Rhabditida; Metastrongylidae. The record is from the annotation of a GenBank genome assembly.